This 357-nucleotide unclassified non-coding RNA is filed under the name soil metagenome. RNAcentral's name for it is "partial contains 5.8S ribosomal RNA, internal transcribed spacer 2, and large subunit ribosomal RNA". The stretch from base 1 to 120 matches the Rfam family "5.8S ribosomal RNA", at positions 35 to 154 of the family's 154-position model. The record is from RNAcentral.
GAUGAAGAACGUAGCGAAAUGCGAUAAGUAAUGUGAAUUGCAGAAUUCAGUGAAUCAUCGAAUCUUUGAACGCACAUUGCGCCCGCCAGUAUUCUGGCGGGCAUGCCUGUCCGAGCGUCAUUUCAACCCUCGAACCCCUCCGGGGGGCCGGCGUUGGGGAUCGGGAACCCCUAAGACGGGAUCCCGGCCCCGAAAUACAGUGGCGGUCUCGCCGCAGCCUCUCCUGCGCAGUAGUUUGCACAACUCGCACCGGGAGCGCGGCGCGUCCACGUCCGUAAAACACCCAACUUUCUGAAAUGUUGACCUCGGAUCAGGUAGGAAUACCCGCUGAACUUAAGCAUAUCAAUAAGCGGAGGA